RNAcentral lists this long non-coding RNA (329 nucleotides) under Drosophila guanche. The record is from RNAcentral. Lineage: Eukaryota; Metazoa; Arthropoda; Insecta; Diptera; Drosophilidae.
CAGCGCUGCUGCCUUAAGCACCUACGUGCAUACAUAUACAAGGCCCCACCGGACACCAUUUGCAGUAACCAUUUGCAGGCAUAAUCCCCAUUUGUCCCUCGCCUCUCUCCUUUCCCACAGCCAUUCGGAUGCAUGGUGCUGCUUGCUGGUUGCUGGUAGUAGCUGCUGCCCACGAUGUUGUUGCUAUUCGCUUUAACUAAGUUCUUUGUCAAUUUUACGGCCCUGAAGCAUCCGUGCUAUUGGGCAUUAUGUGUGUGUUCAGUUCUGGGGAAUACGAGCAGGCAGCCUCUUUAUUCGCACUAAAGCCACGAUACAAUAAACCAACCGUC